GCUACUGGAGUUCCGAGGAGUGCAGAAUGAGAGCAGUACCUGAUGAUGAUGGCAGGAUCAUUAUCAGGAAUCUGGCAAGAACUGCAGUGUAGAGAUGCAAAGAUACCAGUGGAAAGGUUGAAAAUAUCCAGAAGUCUCCUCACAAAGCCUGGUGAUGGCAGCAGCAGCAGCAGCAGCAUAGAAAGUAGAUAAAAAACAGGAGCAAGUGAACAGCAAGGAAUCAACAGACAUCUGAUGUCUUGACCUGCUGCUGCCGCUGAAACAUGUGGUGAGCUAUGGAGGGCAUCUGGCCAGGCAGGAUGCUGGUUCAACUGGUGCUGAAAAAUCCAGGAGACCAUUGAAUCUGCAGGAAGAGACCAGAGUACAUAUUAGAGUUUAAGAAUCUUAAACUAUAAAGCAGCUUUAAGAUUCAUUGAAUUCCUGACAAAAUUAACAGGAAGCUUCCUUCACCAACCUUGAUAUCCUUGAAUUUUACAAUAUGUUGCUGUCCAGAAAUACUUUAAACAAACCCUACAUCUUCUCUAUACUAAGUAAAACUUUAUAUGCACUUUAAUAUUACAUCAACACCAACAAACCUCAGCACCACACCAACAUGUCACAUUCCCCAUUUCUUCCUCCUUAUGAUCAAUCUCUUCCACUUUA
Long non-coding RNA from Portunus trituberculatus (swimming crab), 642 nucleotides. RefSeq lists it as uncharacterized. The transcript is spliced from 3 exons. NCBI's taxonomy places the organism in Eukaryota, Metazoa, Arthropoda, Malacostraca, Decapoda, Portunidae. The record is from RefSeq and is a predicted model, not a curated record.